GAUGAACGCUGGCGGCGUGCCUAAUACAUGCAAGUCGAGCGAACGGACGAGAAGCUUGCUUUUCUGAUGUUAGCGGCGGACGGGUGAGUAACACGUGGAUAACCUACCUAUAAGACUGGGAUAACUUCGGGAAACCGGAGCUAAUACCGGAUAAUAUUUUGAACCGCAUGGUUCAAAAGUGAAAGACGGUCUUGCUGUCACUUAUAGAUGGAUCCGCGCUGCAUUAGCUAGUUGGUAAGGUAACGGCUUACCAAGGCAACGAUGCAUAGCCGACCUGGGAGGGUGAUCGGGCAACAUGGAAACGGGGAAAGGUUCAAAAUCCUAAGGGAGGCAGCCGUAGGGAAUCUUCCGCAAUGGGCGAAAGCCUGACGGAGCAACGCCGCGUGAGUGAUGAAGGUCUUCGGAUCGUAAAACUCUGUUAUUAGGGAAGAACAUAUGUGUAAGUAACUGUGCACGUCUUGACGGUACCUAAUCAGAAAGCCACGGCUAACUACGUG
This 497-nucleotide ribosomal RNA is filed under the name uncultured bacterium. Its description in RNAcentral is "partial 16S ribosomal RNA". It matches the Rfam family "Bacterial small subunit ribosomal RNA", at positions 28 to 507 of the family's 1533-position model. The record is from RNAcentral.